GACGAACGCUGGCGGCGUGCUUAACACAUGCAAGUCGAACGGAAAGGCCCUGCUUUUGUGGGGUGCUCGAGUGGCGAACGGGUGAGUAACACGUGAGUAACCUGCCCUUGACUUUGGGAUAACUUCAGGAAACUGGGGCUAAUACCGGAUAGGAGCUCCUGCUGCAUGGUGGGGGUUGGAAAGUUUCGGCGGUUGGGGAUGGACUCGCGGCUUAUCAGCUUGUUGGUGGGGUAGUGGCUUACCAAGUCUUUGACGGGUAGCCGGCCUGAGAGGGUGACCGGCGACAUUGGGACUGCGGGACGGCCCAGACUCCUACGGGAGGCAGCAGUGGGGAAUAUUGCACAAUGGGGGGAAGCGUGAGGCGGCAACGCCGCGUGCGGGAUGACGUCCUUCGGGUUGUAAACCGCUUUCGCCUGUGACGAGGCGUGAGUGACGGUAAUGGGUAAAGAAGCACCGGCUAACUACGUG
Molecule: ribosomal RNA, 468 nt
Filed under: uncultured bacterium
Lineage: Bacteria
Description: partial 16S ribosomal RNA
Rfam family: Bacterial small subunit ribosomal RNA
Source: RNAcentral